This 404-nucleotide long non-coding RNA is filed under the name Homo sapiens (human). RNAcentral describes it as "non-protein coding lnc-SAA2-2:1". The record is from RNAcentral. Lineage: Eukaryota; Metazoa; Chordata; Mammalia; Primates; Hominidae.
CCUUCUUAACUCGUUCUAUUCUUUCUUUGAUCUCUCGCUCUUCAUGUUUUCGCUCAUACUUUCUCCAAUGUUCUGCAAUUUUCUGUGCCCUAGAAGUCUGUGUGCUUUCCCCCGCCACUUGUAAGGCUGAGCUGAAUCAGGAUUUAUUUCAAUGGCUCUGUCACAGUCUUGGAUGGCAGCAUUUGGCUUCUGUAAUUUGACGAAGACACUGGCCCUCUUUGCAUACAAAAUGGCCAAGCGAGGAUUCAGCUUGAUGGCAUCUGUGAAUAAGUCAAUGGCUUUCUGGAGUUCACCAUCAUUUAGGACUUCAAUAGCAGCCACUUUUUUAUCAUUUGCCUGAUCCAUCAUCUCCUCCGUUAUCUCCACAUUUUCAUCUCCCAUUUCUUGAGGAGCAUCAGUGUCUG